Molecule: non-coding RNA, 146 nt
Organism: Ceratotherium simum simum (southern white rhinoceros)
Lineage: Eukaryota; Metazoa; Chordata; Mammalia; Perissodactyla; Rhinocerotidae
Source: RefSeq, a predicted model, not a curated record
GGGUUAGGCAGAGCUGGCCAAGGGCCGGAGGGCAGAGAUGGGGAAGGCUGAGGGAUGGAGAUGGGGUCAGACCUGUUUCAGAAGGGGUCCGAGGGAUCUGGGGAGAAAUGAGGAGUUCAAAGUGCUUGAGGGGAUGAGAAGGGAGG